AUAUCGGAUUAGCUAGUUGGUGGGGUAAAGGCCUACCAAGGCGUCGAUCCGUAGCUGGUUUGAGAGGACGACCAGCCACACUGGGACUGAGACACGGCCCAGACUCCUACGGGAGGCAGCAGUGGGGAAUUUUGGACAAUGGGGGCAACCCUGAUCCAGCCAUCCCGCGUGUGCGAUGAAGGCCUUCGGGUUGUAAAGCACUUUUGGCAGGGAAGAAAAGGCUCUGGCUAAUACCUGGAGCUGCUGACGGUACCUGCAGAAUAAGCACCGGCUAACUACGUGCCAGCAGCCGCGGUAAUACGUAGGGUGCAAGCGUUAAUCGGAAUUACUGGGCGUAAAGCGUGCGCAGGCGGUUCGGCAAGAAGGAUGUGAAAUCCCAGGGCUUAACCUUGGAACUGCAUUCUUAACUGCC
Molecule: ribosomal RNA, 412 nt
Filed under: uncultured bacterium
Lineage: Bacteria
Description: bacterial SSU rRNA
Rfam family: Bacterial small subunit ribosomal RNA
Source: RNAcentral